CCAGUAACUGCGAGUGAAGAGGGAUCAGCUCAACGUGUGAAUCUGACAGGGUCUAACACCUUGUUCGACUUGUGCACUAUUGACACUGGCUCAGCGUACGAAUGCUAAAGGCGGAUGUCCGAUGAAACACGGCACCAUAGUGGGUCACAGUCCUAUACAUGCCUAUUGGCGUUUACGCAUAUGACCAGUGCUCGUCGAGUCGUGUAGUUUUGUAUUGCUGCACUAAUUGGGAGGUAGAGCCCUUCUAAAGCUAAAUAUGAUGGCAUGACCGAUAGCAAACAAGUACCGUGAGGGAAAGGUGAAAAGCAACCAUGCAGAAUGGGUUGAAAGAGUAGUGAAAGUGCUACCGGGAUAAGGGCUAGUGAUUGCAAGUGCAGACUGUGUGUGCUUCAGUGCUACACUAACUGCCGUCAUGCAUCGAUUGGGUUGGGGAGAACAGGUCGGUGGAGAUUUCAUUCGAUGAAGACCGUUGCACAAUACCCUUCGGCGGGCUGAGGUACGCGCUCCGCAAGG
This 513-nucleotide ribosomal RNA is filed under the name uncultured Tulasnellaceae. RNAcentral describes it as "eukaryotic LSU rRNA". It matches the Rfam family "Eukaryotic large subunit ribosomal RNA", at positions 80 to 511 of the family's 3401-position model. Lineage: Eukaryota; Fungi; Basidiomycota; Agaricomycetes; Cantharellales; Tulasnellaceae. The record is from RNAcentral.